This 467-nucleotide ribosomal RNA is filed under the name uncultured bacterium. RNAcentral's name for it is "bacterial SSU rRNA". It matches the Rfam family "Bacterial small subunit ribosomal RNA", at positions 33 to 507 of the family's 1533-position model. The record is from RNAcentral.
CGAGACGACGCUGGCGGCGUGCUUAAAACAUGCAAGUCGAACGGACUUCUCAUGAAGCUUGCGAUUGAGAAGUUAGUGGCGGACGGGUGAGUAACGCGUGGGCAACCUGCCCCUGAGCCCGGGAUAACAGUUCGAAAGGACUGCUAAGACCGGAUAUACUUGCGGGGAAGCAUUUCACUGCAAGGAAAGGGAACGCUCAGGGAUGGGCCCGCGUCCCAUUAGCUAGUUGGUGAGGUAACGGCCCACCAAGGCGACGAUGGGUAGCCGGCCUGAGAGGGUGAACGGCCACACUGGGACUGAGACACGGCCCAGACUCCUACGGGAGGCAGCAGUUGGGAAUCUUCGGCAAUGGGCGCAAGCCUGACCGAGCAACGCCGCGUGAGUGAUGAAGGUUUUCGGAUUGUAAAGCUCUGUCUUCCGGGACGAUAAUGACGGUACCGGAGGAGGAAGCCACGGCUAACUACGUG